RNAcentral lists this long non-coding RNA (1184 nucleotides) under Phasianus colchicus (ring-necked pheasant). Its description in RNAcentral is "lncRNA (ENSPCLG00000017847.1)". Lineage: Eukaryota; Metazoa; Chordata; Aves; Galliformes; Phasianidae. The record is from RNAcentral.
AGGAAGAGGAGGAAGAAAAGGAGAACGAAUAUGAAGGCGAGGAAGAGGAGGAAGAAGGUGAGGAGGAAGAGGAGGAAGUAGAAUGAGGAAAAGGAGGACGAGAAGGAAAAGGAGAGUGAGGAAGAGGAGGAAAGUGGAGAAGAGGAAGAAAAUGAGGAAGAGGACGGUGAGGACAAGGAGGAGGGAGGAAAUGAGGACGAGGAAGGUGAGGAAGAGGAAGAAGAGGAAGAGGAGGAGGAAGAAGAAAAUGAAGAGGAAAGAAGGGAAGGUGAAGAAGAAGAGGGUGAGGAGGAAGUAAAGAAAGAAAAGGGAAGAAGAGGAGGAGGAGGAUGGGGAUGAAGAUGAGGAUGGUGGUGAGGAGGAAGAUGAUGAGGAUGAUGAAGAUAAGGAUAAGGAUGAUGAUGAUGAGGAUGAUGAGGGAUGAUGAGGAUGACGAUGAGAAGGAGGAUGAGGGAUGAUGAGGAUGAGGAUGAUGAUGAAGGUGAGGCCGAAGAUGAGGACGAUGAUGAGGAUGAUGAUGAUGAUGAAAGCGAGGAUGGGGAUGAAGAUGAUGAAAAUGAGGACGAAAACAAUGACAAAUGCGAGCCCAAAGGUGGCGAUGAGGAGGAAGAUGAGGAUGAGGAGGAUGAGGAUGAGGAAGAGGAGGAGGAUGAAGGCGAGGCCGAAGCUGAGGAUGAUGAUGACGAUGAUGAUGAAAGCGAGGAUGAGGAUGAAGAUGAUGAAAAUGAGGACCAAAACAACAAACGCGAGGCCAAAGGCGACGAUGAGGAGGAAGAUGAAGAUGAGGAGGAUGAGGAUGGGGAUGAGGAUGAAGGCGAGGCCGAAGCUGAGGAUGAUGAUGAUGACGAUGAUGACGAAAGCGAGGAUGUGGAUGAAAAUGAUGAAAACGAGGACCAAAACAACAACAAACGCGAGGCCAAAGGCGACGAUGAAGAGGAAGAUGAAGACGAGGAUGAGGAAGGCGAGGCCGAAGCUCACCGUGGCCGCGGGGGCCGCCCCCCCCCCUAUUGAUGCUGACGGGGGCGGCGCCGGGCCGGGUUCGAUGGAAGUGAUGAACGGGGGCGGCGCCUCGAGCGCGGUGUGAAGCCGACAGAGAGGAGGAAACUCGAGCCCCCCCCGCGCCCCCCCCCAGCAGCAGCCCCAGAGCCAGCAGGACCCGCAGCGCCAUCUCAGAGCCCCAUGGG